RNAcentral lists this ribosomal RNA (215 nucleotides) under Leptographium sp. CO3-O83A. RNAcentral describes it as "28S ribosomal RNA". Lineage: Eukaryota; Fungi; Ascomycota; Sordariomycetes; Ophiostomatales; Ophiostomataceae. The record is from RNAcentral.
UUCCUCCCUCACGCAGCACGCCUGCGUGGUGUUGGGGCGUUCUGCGACCAAGCGCCCGCGCGAGCGGGCGCUCCGCAGCCCCCGAAAGCCAAUGGCGGGCCGGCAGCGGGCUCCGAGCGCAGUAAGCAGCAGUGCCCUCGCUCUGGACGCCCCCGCCAGCGCCCUGCCCAUACCGGCAGACCCAUGUGAGUGACGUCUCCCACCCUUUCUAAGGU